UGCGGUUAGACAGAUAAUAUAAUUUAAUUUUAUUAAUGUUAAUUAAUUUUUGAUUUAAAUUUUAAUUUAAAUUUUAUUAAGUGGAAUUUUAAAAUUUAGAAAAAAUUAUUUUGUUUAAUGAAGUUAAGAAAUUUAGUUAGUAGACUAGGAUUAGAUACCCUAUUAUUAUAAAUGUGAUUUAAUCAUUUAAUUAUUAAAAGUUAUGGUCUUUAAAAUUAAUAAUUUUGGCGGUAUUUUAGUCUUUUCAGAGGAACCUGUUUUAUAAAUGAUAGUCCACGAUUAGUAUUACUUUAUUUAUUAGUUUGUAUAUCGUCGUUUUUAAAUAUUUUUUUAGGAUUAAAAUAUUUAGGAUUUUUUAUUAAAAAAUUAAUCAGAUCAAGGUGCAGUUUAUAUUAAAGUAAAAAUGGGUUACAAUAAAUUUAUUUUUGGAUGAUUAAAUUUAUAUUAAUUUGAAAUUGGAUUUGAGAGUAAUUUAAUUUAUUUUUUAUUUUGAUUUUAGCUCUAAAAUAUGC
RNAcentral lists this ribosomal RNA (512 nucleotides) under Arthrotus niger. RNAcentral describes it as "partial 12S ribosomal RNA". Lineage: Eukaryota; Metazoa; Arthropoda; Insecta; Coleoptera; Chrysomelidae. The record is from RNAcentral.